Molecule: ribosomal RNA, 498 nt
Filed under: Trichadenotecnum sp. KPJ-2003
Lineage: Eukaryota; Metazoa; Arthropoda; Insecta; Psocodea; Psocidae
Description: partial 16S ribosomal RNA
Rfam family: Archaeal large subunit ribosomal RNA (bases 370-498)
Source: RNAcentral
UGUCUUUUUGACAAAAUUUAAAGUCCAAUCUGCUCACUGAAAAUUUAAAGAGCCGCAGUAUCUUGACUGUGCAAAGGUAGCAUAAUCAUUAGUUUUUUAAUUGAAAACUUGUAUGAAAGAUUAGACGAGAAAUUUAUUUUCUUUAUUUUAAAAAAUUAAAUUUUAAUUUUAAGUGAAAAUGCUUAAUUAAAUAUAAAAGACGAGAAGACCCUAUAGAUUUUUAAUAUUGAAUUAAAUGUAAAAUAUUUAUUUAUUAAGAUAUUUUCAUUGGGGUGAUUUUGUAAUAUAAAAAACUUAAAUUAAUUAAAACCAUAAAUUAUUGUAAUUUUAGAUCUAAAAUUUUUAAAGGAAAGAUUAAAUUACCUUAGGGAUAACAGCGUAAUUUUUUUUAAGAGUUCAUAUCUAUAAAAAAGCUUGCGACCUCGAUGUUGAAUUAAGAUAAUAUAUUGAAGUAGAAGUUAAUAUAAUUAGUCUGUUCGACUAUUAAAUUCUUACGUG